UGGGGAAUAUUGCACAAUGGAGGGAACUCUGAUGCAGCGACGCCGCGUGAACGAAGAAGGCUUUCGAGUCGUAAAGUUCUUUUAUAUGGGAAGAUAAUGACGGUACCAUAAGAAAAAGCCCCGGCUAACUACGUGCCAGCAGCCGCGGUAAUACGUAGGGGGCUAGCGUUGUCCGGAAUCACUGGGCGUAAAGGGUUCGCAGGCGGAAAUGCAAGUCAGGUGUAAAAGGCAGUAGCUUAACUACUGUAAGCAUUUGAAACUGCAUAUCUUGAGAAGAGUAGAGGUAAGUGGAAUUUUUAGUGUAGCGAUGAAAUGCGUAGAUAUUAAAAAGAAUACCGGUGGCGAAGGCGACUUACUGGGCUCAUUCUGACGCUGAGGAACGAAAGCGUGGGUAGCAAACAGG
RNAcentral lists this ribosomal RNA (403 nucleotides) under bacterium. RNAcentral describes it as "partial 16S ribosomal RNA". It matches the Rfam family "Bacterial small subunit ribosomal RNA", at positions 355 to 776 of the family's 1533-position model. The record is from RNAcentral. RNAcentral also lists the same sequence under 2 other names.